UAAUACGUAGGGUGCAAGCGUUAAUCGGAAUUACUGGGCGUAAAGCGUGCGCAGGCGGUUAUAUAAGACAGAUGUGAAAUCCCCGGGCUCAACCUGGGAACUGCAUUUGUGACUGUAUAGCUAGAGUACGGCAGAGGGGGAUGGAAUUCCGCGUGUAGCAGUGAAAUGCGUAGAUAUGCGGAGGAACACCGAUGGCGAAGGCAAUCCCCUGGGCCUGUACUGACGCUCAUGCACGAAAGCGUGGGGAGCAAACAGGA
Molecule: ribosomal RNA, 257 nt
Filed under: uncultured bacterium
Lineage: Bacteria
Description: partial 16S ribosomal RNA
Rfam family: Bacterial small subunit ribosomal RNA
Source: RNAcentral